This 534-nucleotide transfer RNA is filed under the name uncultured Prochlorococcus sp. RNAcentral's name for it is "partial 16S-23S ribosomal RNA intergenic spacer". The stretch from base 206 to 278 matches the Rfam family "tRNA". Lineage: Bacteria; Bacillati; Cyanobacteriota; Cyanophyceae; Synechococcales; Prochlorococcaceae. The record is from RNAcentral.
CAAGGAGACAACAAAAUGUUUUGAUAUAAAUUUUGUCACCUUAGGUCGAUCGGUAUCUCAGAUUUUCAUAAUUGAAAAUUUCAGUUUCUAAGUUUUUUCUAGGUCACCCAUUUUUCCUGGGCCAUUAGCUCAGGUGGUUAGAGCGCACCCCUGAUAAGGGUGAGGUCCCUGGUUCAAGUCCAGGAUGGCCCAUAUCUCUAUUAUUGGGGGUAUAGCUCAGUUGGUAGAGCGCCUGCUUUGCAAGCAGGAUGUCAGCGGUUCGAGUCCGCUUACCUCCACUGAAUACCACCCUUCCAAAGAGAAGGAAUAUUUGGGAUUGACUUUAAUCUGAAUGAAUCUAGCUUCCUAUUAUUUAAAUUAAUUAAUAAGAUGCUGGACUCAAUGAAUUUUUUAAUUCUUUGUUUUCAGAGAACCUUGACAACUGCAUAGAUUUUUUCAAAACAAUAAGCAUCUUUUAAGAUGCAGAUUUAUUAUUGGUGCUUAUGCAUUAAUAACAAUUCUAUUGAGCUGAUGCUUCAAUUUUUUGAAGUUAUU